AUUGAACGCUGGCGGCAGGCCUAACACAUGCAAGUCGAACGAGUGGCGGACGGGUGAGUAAUGUCUGGGAAACUGCCCGAUGGAGGGGGAUAACUACUGGAAACGGUAGCUAAUACCGCAUACCAUCGGAUGUGCCCAGCUGGGAUUAGCUAGUAGGGGGGGUAACGGCUCACCUAGGCGACGAUCCCUAGCUGUUCUGCGAGGAUGACCAGCCACACUGGAACUGAGCCACGGGCCAGAGUCCUAGGGGAGGCAGGAGUGGGGAAUAUUGGACAAGGGGGGGAAGCCUGAUGCAGCCAUGCCGCGUGUAUGAAGAAGGCCUUCGAGUUGUAAAGUACUUUCAGCUAGGAGGCGUUACUCGCAGAAGAAGCACCAGCUAACUCCGUGCCAGCAGCCGCGUAAUAC
RNAcentral lists this ribosomal RNA (405 nucleotides) under uncultured bacterium. RNAcentral describes it as "partial 16S ribosomal RNA". It matches the Rfam family "Bacterial small subunit ribosomal RNA", at positions 30 to 526 of the family's 1533-position model. The record is from RNAcentral.